Molecule: ribosomal RNA, 201 nt
Filed under: uncultured bacterium
Lineage: Bacteria
Description: partial 16S ribosomal RNA
Rfam family: Bacterial small subunit ribosomal RNA
Source: RNAcentral
ACGCUCGACACCUACGGGAGACAGCAGUCGGGAAUAUUGCGCAAUGGAGGAAACUCUGACGCAGUGACGCCGCGUAUAGGAAGAAGGUUUUCGGAUUGUAAACUAUUGUCGUUUAGGGAAGAAAAAAAGACAGUACCUAAGGAGGAAGCUCCGGCUAACUACGUGUCAGCAGCCGCGGUAAUCUGAGCGGGCUGGCAAGGC